Molecule: long non-coding RNA, 945 nt
Filed under: Olea europaea subsp. europaea
Lineage: Eukaryota; Viridiplantae; Streptophyta; Magnoliopsida; Lamiales; Oleaceae
Source: RNAcentral
CCUAAAUCAUUUUUCUCCCAAACACUCGUCUCCCUCUCCCUAUCUCUGUCUCGACCUACUCCUCUCCUUACUGUUCUGGAGCCGCACCCACCAUCAUCCGUCGUGGCACCACCAUCUUCUCAACCUAUUUCUCCCCUUAUUUCGACGACUUCAAAUGAUAGUAGCACCAGUAGGCAAUGAUGCUUACUACUCAAAGCGACGAAGCAAUAGCACCGCAACAAAAAUCUGGUUGCGUGCGGCGAUGCCUCACUGAGGACAGCACCGCCACGCACAGUGAGGCGGCGCUACUGCACAGUGAGGCCUCGGUGCUUUUUUUGGGAGUUUCUUUCUUGAAUCGAUCUACUAUAUGGGAGUUUUUUUUUUUUUUUGGCUGAUUUUCCAAUUAAAUUUAUUGCGAUGACUUGUUGGUAGCUAUGGUGGUGGUAAAAAUUGGCUAGGCUUUUGGUGGUGAUGCAAGUCACGGUAAUGUGGUAGUGUUGGUGGAUCUGGCCGUUUGGGGUUUGUUGAAUUUGUCCAGUGGCGAGAGCAAUGAUGGUUGUGUGUUAGUGUCGUUUUUUUUGUUGGUGGUGGUUGUGGGGAUAAUGUGGUGGAUGAAGGGGUGGGAUAAUGUUUGUGAUCGAUUAUUUGGUUUAUCUGAGACCAAGUAUUAGUGGUGGAUCGAAUUGGGGGUGGAAUGUUUGAUGUAUGUGACCAAACUAUUUGGUUGUGUGUUUUGCUGGUGGCAGUGGUGCUGGAUUUGGCGAUAAGGUUGGGAUAUGAUUGUGGUGCCAAUUUUGGGCUACAACGAUGAUGGUGAGGUUACAGUGGUGUGGUGCAAGCGACGGUUGUGUGGUGGUGAAUUGUGACAAAGAUUGGUGUUGGAUCAAGGCAGGUGGUGGGGGUGUUUGGUGCAUGUGACCAAUUAUUUGGACUAAUUAUUAAUCUGUGACCAAUAAAUUUGAAAAU